Molecule: ribosomal RNA, 162 nt
Filed under: Saussurea velutina
Lineage: Eukaryota; Viridiplantae; Streptophyta; Magnoliopsida; Asterales; Asteraceae
Description: 5.8S ribosomal RNA
Rfam family: 5.8S ribosomal RNA
About the family: 5.8S ribosomal RNA (5.8S rRNA) is a component of the large subunit of the eukaryotic ribosome.
Source: RNAcentral
CAUAAACGACUCUCGGCAACGGAUAUCUCGGCUCACGCAUCGAUGAAGAACGUAGCAAAAUGCGAUACUUGGUGUGAAUUGCAGAAUCCCGUGAACCAUCGAGUUUUUGAACGCAAGUUGCGCCCAAAGCCAUUCGGCCAAGGGCACGUCUGCCUGGGCGUC